Molecule: long non-coding RNA, 1157 nt
Filed under: Monodelphis domestica (gray short-tailed opossum)
Lineage: Eukaryota; Metazoa; Chordata; Mammalia; Didelphimorphia; Didelphidae
Description: lncRNA (ENSMODG00000048495.1)
Source: RNAcentral
GUUUGCAAUAUAAAUAUUCAAGACAUAAGCCAAAAACUGGCCUUUAUAUACCUCACUUCUACUGGAAGAACUAAGCAAAAAUAAACCACAAAAAAACCACAAAAACACACAAAAAAACAAACCAUAAAAGCUAUGAAGACCAAUCUGUGACAUAGUAUGAUUAAUUAAAAUUUAAUUUUUAUAAUUCUAUAUUAAUGAAUAGCUAUUUUUCCUAAACAGAUACUUUAAAAAUUACAUUAUUCAAUCAAUGAUUCAAAACUGAAUGGUUUCUUUUAGGGUUUCAUUGGUACAUAUUAAACCAAAGGCAUCAGGAAUACAUUAAAAAAAUGCAGAACAAGCCAGCCAACCAAAAAACAUGGACAAAGAUUUUAAAUGUACUUUAAUUAGGGCAUACCCCAAUAGAUCUAUAUAAUGCUGACAAAAAGUCAUCAGAUCAACUAUAGCAAGCUAGAACCAAGAUGCUUGAGUUAACACAAAUUAAAGUCUGGUAUAUACACCAAUUAACAAGGAAUCUCAGGCCUCAUUCUGUAGUGUACCUAUCCCUUUAAGAGAGGCAUCUGGAAGAUUGCUAUGAUUUAGAAUCAUCUCCAAGGUGACUGAGUGUUUUCCAGAGGGAAACAUACUCCAGGCCACAGAGCAUUAGGAAAAACUAAAAAAAGACCUUUUCUCCUUCUUUAUGUCACCUUGGGGUCACUAAUUAUAAGCCUGGAAUCAAAUAUAACAUGAACAGGGAAAUAACAAAUUGGAGAUUGAAAACUAGGACACGGUGCAAGACAGAGAAUAAAGAAAAAGAGAAUAAACAAAAUCCCAGAAGUUCAGGUGAUGUGAAUAGCUCUCUUAACAAUUUUUUAUUCGUUGGUCAUUUUAAUCUUUUCCAACAACUCUUUGUGCACUCAAUUGGGUUUGUUUGGGUAUUUUUUCUGUGUGGCAAAGUUACUGGAGUGAUUUCAAUUAAAAAUGUGAGACUUUAUCAAAGCCAUAUAUUCUGCUUAAGAGAGGCAAGCAGGAGGAGAGUCAAGGGAAAGAAAUCAACUUCAAAUAAUGUCUUCCAUGAAGUAAGCUAUGCCUAGGGAUAAAAUAUUCUCUAAAAUUCAUCUUGAAAGUUCAUAGAACCAUAGGAUCCCCAAAUUGGAAUAAAUCUUGGAAAUCAUCUAACA